UCUUUCGUAGUAUAGUGGUCAGUAUGCAAGCUUGUCACGCUUGAGACCCGGGUUCAAUUCCCGGCGAGAGAG
Molecule: transfer RNA, 72 nt
Organism: Claviceps purpurea 20.1
Lineage: Eukaryota; Fungi; Ascomycota; Sordariomycetes; Hypocreales; Clavicipitaceae
Rfam family: tRNA
About the family: Transfer RNA (tRNA) molecules are approximately 80 nucleotides in length.
Source: Rfam